This 24-nucleotide microRNA is filed under the name Brachypodium distachyon (stiff brome). RNAcentral describes it as "bdi-miR7713-5p". The record is from miRBase by way of RNAcentral. Lineage: Eukaryota; Viridiplantae; Streptophyta; Magnoliopsida; Poales; Poaceae.
UAGGAAUUGAUGGAACAGCUCACA